RNAcentral lists this long non-coding RNA (227 nucleotides) under Helianthus annuus (common sunflower). RNAcentral describes it as "sRNA HanXRQr2_Chr02g0079151". The record is from RNAcentral. Lineage: Eukaryota; Viridiplantae; Streptophyta; Magnoliopsida; Asterales; Asteraceae.
GCCAAAACCCUAAUGACCAAAAAUCAUCAAAUUGAAAAGGAGAUCAAGGGCAAAUCGAAUGCAUGGGUUUAGAUACUCUUUAAUCUAAGUGUAUUGAUCAUAAGAUUGUAUGAAUUUGAGUUUUCAUGUCAACAUGAGCACAAAUAAGGAAGUGCCACGGGUAGAAGGUAAACACGGAAGCUAAGUGCAAAUUCGGACGCGCGAGUCAUGUCAACAUGAGCACAAAU